CGUCUUUUGAUUCUUAUUACAUAAAAGAUAAUGCCUGCCCAGUGAAUUUUUAAACGGCCGCGUUAGCGUGAGCGUGCUAAGGUAGCGUAAUAAUUAGCCUCUUAAUUGGAGGCCAGUGAAAGGCAACACUAGGAAUACCUGUACUUUGUAUGAAAAAAGAACUUUUUUUCUAAGUGAAAAAUCUUAGAUAAUAAGGGAAGACGAAAAGACCCCGCGGAACUUUACCUUUUCUAUUAAGAUUUUAUAUCAAUUAAAAUAAUUCUCAAUAAGGUUUGAUUGGGGCAAUCUCGGAACCACCUAAACUUCCGACUUUUUUUUAAAAAAAAUAAAAAACUUGUUUUGGACUAAAAAGAAGUUACCCCGGGGAUAACAGCGUUAUCCAACUCGAGAGUACACAUCGAAAGUUGGGUUUGCGACCUCGAUGUUGGCUUAAGGACAUCCACAUUAGUGCAGCCGCUAUGAAUGGAUAGUCUGUUCGACUAUUAUAACCUU
RNAcentral lists this ribosomal RNA (492 nucleotides) under Hyriopsis bialata. Its description in RNAcentral is "partial large subunit ribosomal RNA". It matches the Rfam family "Bacterial large subunit ribosomal RNA", at positions 1816 to 2597 of the family's 2925-position model. Lineage: Eukaryota; Metazoa; Mollusca; Bivalvia; Unionida; Unionidae. The record is from RNAcentral.